Molecule: long non-coding RNA, 1641 nt
Organism: Pseudophryne corroboree (corroboree frog)
Lineage: Eukaryota; Metazoa; Chordata; Amphibia; Anura; Myobatrachidae
Exons: 7
Source: RefSeq, a predicted model, not a curated record
CUGGCAGUUGGGAGGCAGCCAUUUUGAGCAGAGGGUGUUGUGAUGGGCUGUUCCUGUAAACCUAGUGAUUUUCCUGGUUUCUGUCAGGCGACUGGGGACAGAAAAGUGAGUAGCUGUGAGAAGAAGUACAGCCAUCAGUGAAGCUACAUGUCAGGGCUGCUGAUCACUCCCUGGAGACCUCCCAGCACUGUGUGAGUGACAGAAUAGAGAAGUGCGGCCUAGGCAGACUGAGGCGGACCUUUUCUCACUUAGAGGAUGGCUGUUCUCCCAUCUCAGGAACUGGGAGCUGUCUACAAGCAUGGAGCCUUUCACUGAGGACAUUUGGAUGCUCAUGAUCAAGGCUGGUGUGGCUACACAGCAGGUCAUGGCAGAUGAAAAAAGUGAUCAGGUGAUUUUGGUUAUCCAAACAAAUUUUGGCUACUCACCCCAUUAUCCGAUCCGGAAGGCACUGCUGAGAAAAAGUACCAAGCAACGCACAUAGCAUCGAGGGGUAUUAUAGAGAAAAUCUUCGGUGUGCUUAAAUCCUGCUUCCGGUGUUUAGACCGGUCCGGGGGUACGCUGCAAUAUUCCCUGUCAAAGGUUUGCAACAUUGUAAAUGCAAGCUGCAUCCUGCAUAAUAUAUGUGUCGCCAACCGUUUGACGGAGAAUAUAGAUCUUGGUGUUUGGCCGGAUUCGAACAUUUGUCUAGCAGUGCCGGAAGGUAUGAAUGGAGGAGGUAUUUCCCGUCGCCGCGAUCAAUGGCAAAUCCUAAUUGAUUCAGUCUUUUCUGGAGAACCCCCUUACUGGCUUAUCCCUGUCAACCCACCAUCCAACUCUGUCUGGGUGUGCUGAAGGGCCAUGGUUGAAGAUGACUUACCUGGAUUCCUGGUGUCUGGUUUCUUUCCAGCUUGUUUCCUCUCCUGGACUCUCGUAUCCCAUUGGUAGUGGGGUCUCCUGUUGAACUGUGGAGGACCCCCUACUGGCUUAUACUUGUGGACUGUCAACACACCAUCCCACUCUGCCUGGGUGUGCUGUAGGACCAUGGUUGAAGAUACUUACCUGGAUCCAUGGUGUCCGGUCUCUUUCCAUCUUGUUUCCUCUACUGGACUGUCCCGUGCUUCAGGACCCCCUACUGGCUUAUCCUUGUGGACUGUCAACCCACCGUCCCACUCUGCCUGGAUGUGCUGUAGGGCCAUGGUUGAAGAUGACUUACCUGGAUCCUUGGUGUCCGGUCUCUUUCCAGCUUGUUGCCUCUCCCGGACUCUCCCGUGUUGGAUCUGGAAAAACUCCCUAAAAUCUGAAUUUCACCAGGCAGAAAGUUUGUCUACCUUGACCAUCUUGCUGUGGACUGUUGCUAGCCUGUCCCAAAAGUUCAAACACAAUUUUUAUUGGCUUAACUUAUUUUACUGGCUGUAUAUUAAAGAAAAAAGAAGUUGGAUGAACCCACUGUUUUUUUUAUUAUAGAUAUAACUUGUCAACUGUAAUUUUUAAUACACACAUAUUCAACAGCCAAAAUGAGUCAGUGAAAAAGUGCAAUCACAUGGUUAUACAAAAGUCCACAAACUUUUCUUUGUUAAAAGUGUUGUUGUUGUUGUUGUUGUUCUGUAGUUUUUUUGUAAUGAUCCUGUAAAAAUGAGUGAAAAAAUAAAAUUGAGUUCAAAA